This 669-nucleotide ribosomal RNA is filed under the name uncultured Antarctic soil bacterium. RNAcentral's name for it is "bacterial SSU rRNA". It matches the Rfam family "Bacterial small subunit ribosomal RNA", at positions 22 to 688 of the family's 1533-position model. The record is from RNAcentral.
UUUUUGAUGACGCUGGCGGCAGGCUUAACACAUGCAAGUCGAGCGGAAACGAUGGUAGCUUGCUACCAGGCGUCGAGCGGCGGACGGGUGAGUAAUACUUACAGAAUCUACCUAGUAGUGGGGGAUAGCACGGGGAAACUCGAAUUAAUACCGCAUACGACCUACGGGAGAAAGGGGGCAGUUUACUGCUCUCGCUAUUAGAUGAGCCUAAGUCGGAUUAGCUAGAUGGUGGGGUAAAGGCCUACCAUGGCGACGAUCUGUAGCUGGUCUGAGAGGAUGAUCAUCCACACCGGGACUGAGACACGGCCCGGACUCCUACGGGAGGCAGCAGUGGGGAAUAUUGGACAAUGGGGGAAACCCUGAUCCAGCCAUGCCGCGUGUGUGAAGAAGGCCUUUUGGUUGUAAAGCACUUUAAGCAGUGAAGAAGACUCCGUGGUUAAUACCCACGGACGAUGACAUUAGCUGCAGAAUAAGCACCGGCUAACUCUGUGCCAGCAGCCGCGGUAAUCAGGAGGGUGCAAGCGUUAAUCGGAAUUCUGGGCGUAAAGGGAGCGUAGGUGGCUCAAUAAGUCAGAUGUGAAAUCCCCGGCUCAACCUGGGAACUGCAUCUGAUACUGUUGAGCUAGAGUAUGUGAGAGGAAGGUAGAAUUCCAGGUGUGCGGUGAAAUG